Small nuclear RNA from Carlito syrichta (Philippine tarsier), 104 nucleotides. The record is from Ensembl. NCBI's taxonomy places the organism in Eukaryota, Metazoa, Chordata, Mammalia, Primates, Tarsiidae.
GUGCUCAUUUCAGCAGCAUACAUACUAAAAUUGGAAAGUUACAGAGAUUAGCCUGGCUCCUACACAAAGAUGACACGUUGAUGACAUAGCUGCAUUACUUAAAA